AACUUUGAGCGAUGGAUCACUCGGCUCUUGCGUCGAUGAAGAGUGCAGCCAACUGUGUGAAUUAAUGUGAACCGCAUACUGCUUUAAACAUUGACAUCUUGAAAGCAUAUCGCGGUUACGGGAUAUCCUGUGGUCACGUCUGUCCGAGGGUCG
Trichobilharzia regenti is the source of this 153-nucleotide non-coding RNA. The record is from Rfam. NCBI's taxonomy places the organism in Eukaryota, Metazoa, Platyhelminthes, Trematoda, Strigeidida, Schistosomatidae.